AAUCUCAAUGUUUCCCUUGGGAAACAUUGAGAUUCUCGAAUCUCAAUGUUUCCCUUGGGAAAAUAAUUCCCGAGAAUCUCAAUGUUUCCCUUGGGAAACAUUGAGAU
This is a non-coding RNA of Paramuricea clavata, 107 nucleotides long. NCBI's taxonomy places the organism in Eukaryota, Metazoa, Cnidaria, Anthozoa, Malacalcyonacea, Plexauridae. The record is from the annotation of a GenBank genome assembly.